AUGCAAGUCGAACGGAAAGGCCCUGCUUGCAGGGUACUCGAGUGGCGAACGGGUGAGUAACACGUGGGUGAUCUGCCCUGCACUUCGGGAUAAGCCUGGGAAACUGGGUCUAAUACCGGAUAGGAGCCAUUUUUAGUGUGAUGGUUGGAAAGUUUUUCGGUGUAGGAUGAGCUCGCGGCCUAUCAGCUUGUUGGUGGGGUAAUGGCCUACCAAGGCGGCGACGGGUAGCCGGCCUGAGAGGGUGGACGGCCACAUUGGGACUGAGAUACGGCCCAGACUCC
Molecule: ribosomal RNA, 281 nt
Filed under: uncultured bacterium
Lineage: Bacteria
Description: partial 16S ribosomal RNA
Rfam family: Bacterial small subunit ribosomal RNA
Source: RNAcentral